This 84-nucleotide microRNA precursor is filed under the name Bombyx mori (domestic silkworm). RNAcentral's name for it is "mir-2807 microRNA precursor family". It matches the Rfam family "mir-2807 microRNA precursor family". The record is from Rfam by way of RNAcentral. Lineage: Eukaryota; Metazoa; Arthropoda; Insecta; Lepidoptera; Bombycidae.
UUAACUCAAAUUUUAAUGGAGUUGGAACGUUUGCCUAUGUUUGCCGCUAGGGACGCUGUUCCAACUGCAUACAAAUUUGAGUUA